Frieseomelitta varia is the source of this 2158-nucleotide RNA transcript. It is a transcript of the gene named female-specific protein transformer-like, with no coding region annotated. The transcript is spliced from 9 exons. The record is from RefSeq and is a predicted model, not a curated record. NCBI's taxonomy places the organism in Eukaryota, Metazoa, Arthropoda, Insecta, Hymenoptera, Apidae.
GUCAAAUAUGAUACGGCAUCUGACAUAACAUGUUUACUAUCUUUUGCAUUGCGCUUCAUAAAUAAUGCACCGUCAUAUUAUGUCAUACGUGAUGUGCAGUGUUGAUACCAUGUUUUUUGAUGCACUCUUAUAAUCAAUUUAAUUAACAAAAUAUUGUGAAAUAAUACUAAUCUAGUUUAAGAAUUCGUAUUUAUUUACCGCAAAUUAUAGCGCAACGCUCACGGCCUGAAUAGUAAACGUGUUAAUAACUGCAUGUCUUCUUUUUGUUUAUUAUUUUGAUGUAACGUACACAUUAAUUCUGCAUUUCUAACCUCAAAAAGGGUUGCAGAUUAAUCUUCAUGCAUAUGAAGUUUUUCUUCUUUGGAAAAUGAAACGAAUCGUGUCAAGUCAUUCGCAUCGAGAUGAAAGAUCGAGAACAUCACGCAGUGGAGAUUUUGAAACUGGUCUACGUUCAAAAACGGAAGAAGAAAGAUUACGGCGUAGGCGCGAAUGGAUGAUAGAGCAAGAAAAGCUACGGGAACAUGAAAAAUUGAAGGCGAAGAUGAUUUUAGAGUAUGAAAUACGUCGUGCUCGUGAAAAAGGUUUACCACCACCAAAAGGAAGAUUCUCACAUCACAGUCGUAGUAAAAGUAAAAGCAAAUCUCCGGAAAUUCGACAUAAAACUACGACAUCAAGUACAUCUAAAACAGCCAUAUUAUCUAAAAAAUUAGAACCAUCAGAUGGUACAACACCUUUAUUUAAGGGACCAGAAGGCACACAAGUUAGUAUUGUGGAAUUACGAAGUAUCAAAGUAGAUAUUCACAGAAAUGUGCCAGGCAAAGCAACAACUGAUGAACUUCAACGAGCUAUUGUCAAUCCUGAAGAUGUCCAGGUCAUGAGAAGAGAGGGAGAAGGAUCCAAACCUAUAUUUGAAAGAGAAGAAAUAAAAAGUGCAACAGUCAAGACAGAAGAAAUUGUCGAACAUCGUACAGUUGUUGCUAUAAAUAAUGAAAACUUAGAAAAUAAAUCGGGAGUGAAUAAAAAAUAUACUACAUCAAGAAGUCAAAGUUGCAGUCCUCGACGUAGAUUGUCUCAUUAUACCAGGUAUGAGGAUUCAAAACGUGAUGGCAGAAAUAGUUAUAGAAAUGAUCCAGGGAAAGAGAUCGUAGUAGAGGCAGAAGUCGAGAAUAUAAAGAAAAAGACAGACGACAUGGUCAGUUGCAUACUACAAGAGAAGAAAGAAAAGGUCACCGAGAUCAUUCACGUUCAAGGGAGCGAGAACAACGAACAUGGAGUAGAGAAUCUCACAAGUUUAAAGACGAAAGAUCUCAUCGAGAAUAUCGAGAAAGAUCAAGAGAACGAUCUCGAGAAAGAAGUGAAAGAGAUAGGUCUAGAGAGCACAGAGUACCGUCGUCGCAUUAUAUUGAGCAAAUUCCCGUUCCAUUCUACUAUGGAGAUUUUCCUGCAAGACCAAUAAUGGUUGGGCCUUUAGUUCCAAUUCGAGGGCAAGUACCUUUAGGAACUAGGCACAUGAUGGGUCCAUUAAGACCAUUCCCACCACGAUUUAUUCCACCAGAUAUGUAUAGAUUACGUCCACCUCCAAACCCUAGAUUUGGGCCAAUGUAUUAAUGAAAGAUUUGUGGUAAAUGGAACAUUAAUGUUUUAUUAUGUAGGUAUGCAUACGUGCCGUAUGCCGUACCAAAUAUUUGACGAUCUUUUAUAAGAAUUCAAAAUUCCUGAUAUCAUAACGAAGUAGAUCCAAUCCAUGAUAAUGAUUAUGAUUUUAUGAAAUGUGCAAAUGUUUUAUAGUUUUUUAAUUGCCAUGUUAUAAGAAUUUUUUAAUAUCAUGAUAAAUUUGUUGAUGCUUUAACUUUAACGUUGAUGCAAACACAAUCGCAUUUUGUUUUAAAAAUCAUUGAUUUUUUAAGUAACUAUGUAUUAACUUAAAAAUUUUAUAGCAUAUUUAAUCUUUUGUUAUAGUUUCUGAAAGACUAUUAAAAUAAAAUAUCUUAUGUUUGAUGUAUUUGAUUAUGAAACUUGUUCAUAAUUCUUUUUAAAUUGUAAUAAUUUGUAAGAAUUUUAUUAAUUGAUAACGAUUUGUGAAUUAUUGAAUUCAAGGAAUGUCUAGCAUGUAAAUAUGAUGUAUCUAAAUAAAAUAUUUAUUUAAAACUCUUUUAAA